RNAcentral lists this ribosomal RNA (442 nucleotides) under uncultured bacterium. Its description in RNAcentral is "partial 16S ribosomal RNA". It matches the Rfam family "Bacterial small subunit ribosomal RNA", at positions 338 to 795 of the family's 1533-position model. The record is from RNAcentral.
CCUACGGGAGGCAGCAGUAGGGAAUCUUUCACAAUGGGCGAAAGCCUGAUGGAGCAACGCCGCGUGCAGGAUGAAGGCCUUCGGGUUGUAAACUUCUUUUAUUAGCGAGAAAUCUGAUGGUAACUUAUGAAUAAGGAUCGGCUAACUACGUGCCAGCAGCCGCGGUCAUACGUAGGAUCCGAGCAUUAUCCGGAGUGACUGGGUGUAAAGAGUUGCGUAGGUGGCAUAAUAAGUAGCUAGUGAAAUCUGGUGGCUAAACCAUUCGGACUAUUAGCUAAACUGUUAAGCUCGAGACCGUUAGGGGUAACUGGAAUUUCUAGUGUAGGAGUGAAAUCCGUAGAUAUUAGAAGGAACACCAAUAGCGUAGGCAGGUUGCUGGGACGGUUCUGACACUAAGGCACGAAAGCGUAGGGAGCAAACGGGAUUAGAUACCCUGGUAGUC